CGGCCAGCAUGCCUCUGGAGCGGCUCUGACUUUCCUCCAAUCAGAGGGAGAGGAAGGAAGGAAGGCGCCUGGAGGGAAAUGAAAGGAAGCCGGACGUAGUGCGCAGGUGCGAGAACGUGCUUUGGGUCUCCGGGCAAAGAUGGCGGAGCGCGGUUACAGCUUUUCGUUGACUACUUUCAGCCCAUCUGGUAAACUUGUUCAGAUUGAAUAUGCUUUGGCUGCUGUAGCUGGAGGAGCCCCUUCAGUGGGCAUUAAAGCUUCAAAUGGUGUGGUAUUAGCAACGGAAAAGAAACAGAAAUCCAUUCUGUAUGAUGAGCGAAGUGUACACAAAGUGGAGCCAAUUACCAAACAUAUAGGCUUGGUAUAUAGUGGCAUGGGCCCAGAUUACAGAGUGCUUGUACACAGAGCUCGAAAACUAGCUCAGCAAUAUUAUCUUGUUUACCAAGAACCCAUUCCCACAGCUCAGCUGGUACAGAGAGUAGCUUCUGUGAUGCAAGAAUAUACCCAAUCAGGUGGUGUUCGUCCAUUUGGAGUUUCUUUACUAAUUUGUGGUUGGAAUGAGGGGCGACCAUAUUUAUUUCAGUCAGAUCCAUCAGGAGCUUACUUUGCCUGGAAAGCCACAGCGAUGGGAAAGAACUAUGUGAAUGGAAAAACUUUUCUUGAGAAAAGAUAUAAUGAAGAUCUAGAACUUGAAGAUGCCAUUCAUACAGCCAUAUUAACCCUAAAGGAAAGCUUUGAAGGGCAGAUGACAGAAGAUAACAUAGAAGUUGGAAUCUGCAAUGAAGCUGGAUUUAGGAGGCUUACUCCAACUGAAGUUAAGGAUUACUUGGCUGCCAUAGCAUAAUGAAGUGACUGAAAAUCUGGAAUUGCAGAUAAUCUCUAUACUUAAACAUGUUUAAAUGGCUGCACCAGUCUGCAUUCCCACCAACAGUGCACUAGGGUUCCCUUUUCUCUACAUCCUCCCCAGCACUUGUUUGUUGAUUUAUUGAUGGAUGCCAUUCUGGUAGGUAUGAGGUGAUAUCUCAGUGUAGUUUUAAUUUGCAUCUCUGGUGAUUAAUGAUGUUUUAAUGCGUCUGUUGUCCAUCUGUGUGCCCUUUUUGGAGAAGUGUCAAACCCAGAGACCUAAAGUAACCUAAGGAUGGUUUGAAAUUAAAAACUUUAACUAAAAGCAGUUUAUGGCAGGUAAUCAUGUACUAGGCUAGAAUCUUCCCUGAUAAAAGUCAAUCUUUAAGCCUAUCUAUUGUCUUUUGCAUCUAUGAUAACAUUCCUUUGGAUUGUCAGGGUAACUCCCCUUUCUCCAGACCCCUCAGGGCACAACCAAUGCCCCUGCCCUGGGGCAGAGACCGUUAUUACCAUGUUAAUUGUUGAUUGUCAGUUAUCCCGGACCCACCUCCGGACCUACGUAGAUUUGUGUCUAUCGUUUUACUCCCUCCCCAAUCAAUCACCAAUGAAUUUCAUGUAACCCACUUGUGUCUUCUCUUUCGAUUGUAAUGCAUAAAACAAGGUGCAAAACUGCCAUUCUCUGGAGCAUUAUCUCAAUGCAUUGAGAUUUUCUUUCCCAGCAAUUGUGGACAGUUUGGCUCAAAUAAAUGCACAAAAAAUCUU
RNA transcript from Myotis lucifugus (little brown bat), 1605 nucleotides. It is a transcript of the gene named proteasome subunit alpha 2, with no coding region annotated. Lineage: Eukaryota; Metazoa; Chordata; Mammalia; Chiroptera; Vespertilionidae. The transcript is spliced from 9 exons. The record is from RefSeq and is a predicted model, not a curated record.